Molecule: ribosomal RNA, 2186 nt
Filed under: Salmonella enterica
Lineage: Bacteria; Pseudomonadati; Pseudomonadota; Gammaproteobacteria; Enterobacterales; Enterobacteriaceae
Description: partial 23S ribosomal RNA
Rfam family: Bacterial large subunit ribosomal RNA
Source: RNAcentral
AUAUUCUGUAGCAAGGUUAACCGUAUAGGGGAGCCGGAGGGAAACCGAGUCUUAACCGGGCGUUAAGUUGCAGGGUAUAGACCCGAAACCCGGUGAUCUAGCCAUGGGCAGGUUGAAGGUUGGGUAACACUAACUGGAGGACCGAACCGACUAAUGUUGAAAAAUUAGCGGAUGACCUGUGGCUGGGGGUGAAAGGCCAAUCAAACCGGGAGAUAGCUGGUUCUCCCCGAAAGCUAUUUAGGUAGCGCCUCGUGAAUUCAUCUCCGGGGGUAGAGCACUGUUUCGGCUAGGGGGCCAUCCCGGCUUACCAACCCGAUGCAAACUGCGAAUACCGGAGAAUGUUAUCACGGGAGACACACGGCGGGUGCUAACGUCCGUCGUGAAGAGGGAAACAACCCAGACCGCCAGCUAAGGUCCCAAAGUCAUGGUUAAGUGGGAAACGAUGUGGGAAGGCCCAGACAGCCAGGAUGUUGGCUUAGAAGCAGCCAUCAUUUAAAGAAAGCGUAAUAGCUCACUGGUCGAGUCGGCCUGCGCGGAAGAUGUAACGGGGCUAAACCAUGCACCGAAGCUGCGGCAGCGACACUGUGUGUUGUUGGGUAGGGGAGCGUUCUGUAAGCCUGUGAAGGUGUGUCGUGAGGCAUGCUGGAGGUAUCAGAAGUGCGAAUGCUGACAUAAGUAACGAUAAAGCGGGUGAAAAGCCCGCUCGCCGGAAGACCAAGGGUUCCUGUCCAACGUUAAUCGGGGCAGGGUGAGUCGACCCCUAAGGCGAGGCCGAAAGGCGUAGUCGAUGGGAAACAGGUUAAUAUUCCUGUACUUGGUGUUACUGCGAAGGGGGGACGGAGAAGGCUAUGUUGGCCGGGCGACGGUUGUCCCGGUUUAAGCGUGUAGGCUGGUUUUCCAGGCAAAUCCGGAAAAUCAAGGCUGAGGCGUGAUGACGAGGCACUACGGUGCUGAAGCAACAAAUGCCCUGCUUCCAGGAAAAGCCUCUAAGCAUCAGGUAACAUCAAAUCGUACCCCAAACCGACACAGGUGGUCAGGUAGAGAAUACCAAGGCGCUUGAGAGAACUCGGGUGAAGGAACUAGGCAAAAUGGUGCCGUAACUUCGGGAGAAGGCACGCUGACACGUAGGUGAAGUGAUUUACUCACGGAGCUGAAGUCAGUCGAAGAUACCAGCUGGCUGCAACUGUUUAUUAAAAACACAGCACUGUGCAAACACGAAAGUGGACGUAUACGGUGUGACGCCUGCCCGGUGCCGGAAGGUUAAUUGAUGGGGUCAGCGCAAGCGAAGCUCCUGAUCGAAGCCCCGGUAAACGGCGGCCGUAACUAUAACGGUCCUAAGGUAGCGAAAUUCCUUGUCGGGUAAGUUCCGACCUGCACGAAUGGCGUAAUGAUGGCCAGGCUGUCUCCACCCGAGACUCAGUGAAAUUGAACUCGCUGUGAAGAUGCAGUGUACCCGCGGCAAGACGGAAAGACCCCGUGAACCUUUACUAUAGCUUGACACUGAACAUUGAGCCUUGAUGUGUAGGAUAGGUGGGAGGCUUUGAAGCGUGGACGCCAGUCUGCGUGGAGCCGACCUUGAAAUACCACCCUUUAAUGUUUGAUGUUCUAACGUGGACCCGUAAUCCGGGUUGCGGACAGUGUCUGGUGGGUAGUUUGACUGGGGCGGUCUCCUCCUAAAGAGUAACGGAGGAGCACGAAGGUUGGCUAAUCCUGGUCGGACAUCAGGAGGUUAGUGCAAUGGCAUAAGCCAGCUUGACUGCGAGCGUGACGGCGCGAGCAGGUGCGAAAGCAGGUCAUAGUGAUCCGGUGGUUCUGAAUGGAAGGGCCAUCGCUCAACGGAUAAAAGGUACUCCGGGGAUAACAGGCUGAUACCGCCCAAGAGUUCAUAUCGACGGCGGUGUUUGGCACCUCGAUGUCGGCUCAUCACAUCCUGGGGCUGAAGUAGGUCCCAAGGGUAUGGCUGUUCGCCAUUUAAAGUGGUACGCGAGCUGGGUUUAGAACGUCGUGAGACAGUUCGGUCCCUAUCUGCCGUGGGCGCUGGAGAACUGAGGGGGGCUGCUCCUAGUACGAGAGGACCGGAGUGGACGCAUCACUGGUGUUCGGGUUGUCAUGCCAAUGGCACUGCCCGGUAGCUAAAUGCGGAAGAGAUAAGUGCUGAAAGCAUCUAAGCACGAAACUUGCCCCGA